Molecule: ribosomal RNA, 415 nt
Filed under: uncultured bacterium
Lineage: Bacteria
Description: bacterial SSU rRNA
Rfam family: Bacterial small subunit ribosomal RNA
Source: RNAcentral
UGAGUGAAGAAGGCCUUCGGGUUGUAAAGCUCUUUUGUCAGGGAAGAAACGGCUCCAGCUAAUAUCUGGGGCUAAUGACGGUACCUGAAGAAUAAGCACCGGCUAACUACGUGCCAGCAGCCGCGGUAAUACGUAGGGUGCGAGCGUUAAUCGGAAUUACUGGGCGUAAAGCGUGCGCAGGCGGUUUUGUAAGACAGAGGUGAAAUCCCCGGGCUCAACCUGGGAACUGCCUUUGUGACUGCAAGGCUAGAGUACGGCAGAGGGGGAUGGAAUUCCGCGUGUAGCAGUGAAAUGCGUAGAUAUGCGGAGGAACACCGAUGGCGAAGGCAAUCCCCUGGGCCUGUACUGACGCUCAUGCACGAAAGCGUGGGGAGCAAACAGGAUUAGAUACCCUGGUAGUCCACGCCCUAAACGA